This 468-nucleotide ribosomal RNA is filed under the name uncultured bacterium. RNAcentral describes it as "partial 16S ribosomal RNA". It matches the Rfam family "Bacterial small subunit ribosomal RNA", at positions 28 to 507 of the family's 1533-position model. The record is from RNAcentral.
GACGAACGCUGGCGGCGUGCUUAACACAUGCAAGUCGAACGGAAAGGCCCUGCUUUUGUGGGGUGCUCGAGUGGCGAACGGGUGCGUAACACGUGAGUAACCUGCCCUUGACUUUGGGAUAACUUCAGGAAACUGGGGCUACUACCGGAUAGGAUCUCCUGCUGCAUGGUGGGCGUUGGAACGUUUCGGCGGUUGGGGAUGGACUCGCGGCUUAUCAGCUUGUUGGUGGGGUAGUGGCUUACCAAGGCUUUGACGGGUAGCCGGCCUGAGAGGGGGACCGGCCACAUGGGGACUGAGAUACGGCCCAGACUGCUACGGGAGGCAGCAGUGGGGAAUAUUGCACAAUGGGCGGAAGCCUGAUGCAGCAACGCCGCGUGCGGGAUGACGGCCUUCGGGUUGUAAACCGCUUUCGCCUGUGACGAAGCGGGAGUGACGGUAAUGGGUAAAGAAGCACCGGCUAACUACGUG